This 73-nucleotide transfer RNA is filed under the name Felis catus (domestic cat). It matches the Rfam family "tRNA". From Rfam's summary of the family: Transfer RNA (tRNA) molecules are approximately 80 nucleotides in length. The record is from Rfam by way of RNAcentral. Lineage: Eukaryota; Metazoa; Chordata; Mammalia; Carnivora; Felidae.
ACCUCGCUGGCUCAGUCGAUAGAGCAUGUGACUCUCGAUCUCAAGGUUGUAAGUUUGAGCCCCAUGUUGGGUG